This 536-nucleotide ribosomal RNA is filed under the name Agaricus albolutescens. RNAcentral describes it as "LSU rRNA". It matches the Rfam family "Eukaryotic large subunit ribosomal RNA", at positions 67 to 602 of the family's 3401-position model. The record is from RNAcentral. Lineage: Eukaryota; Fungi; Basidiomycota; Agaricomycetes; Agaricales; Agaricaceae.
AACAAGGAUUCCCCUAGUAACUGCGAGUGAAGCGGGAAAAGCUCAAAUUUAAAAUCUGGCGGUCUCUGGCCGUCCGAGUUGUAAUCUAGAGAAGUAAUGCCCGUGCUGGACCGUGUAUAAGUCUCCUGGGAUGGGGCCGUCAUAGAGGGUGAGAAUCCCGUCUUUGACACGGACUACCAGUGCAUUGUGGUAUGCUCUCAAAGAGUCGAGUUGUUUGGGAAUGCAGCUCAAAAUGGGUGGUAAAUUCCAUCUAAAGCUAAAUAUUGGCGAGAGACCGAUAGCGAACAAGUACCGUGAGGGAAAGAUGAAAAGAACUUUGGAAAGAGAGUUAAACAGUACGUGAAAUUGCUGAAAGGGAAACGCUUGAAGUCAGUCGCGUUGGCCGGGGAUCAGCCUUGCUUUUGCAUGGUGUACUUUCUGGUUGACGGGUCAGCAUCAAUUUUGACCGCUGGAAAAAGACCUGGGGAAUGUGGCAGCUUCGGCUGUGUUAUAGCCCCUAGUCGCAUACAGUGGUUGGGAUUGAGGAACUCAGCACA